This 594-nucleotide ribosomal RNA is filed under the name uncultured Gammaproteobacteria bacterium. Its description in RNAcentral is "bacterial SSU rRNA". It matches the Rfam family "Bacterial small subunit ribosomal RNA", at positions 102 to 692 of the family's 1533-position model. Lineage: Bacteria; Pseudomonadati; Pseudomonadota; Gammaproteobacteria. The record is from RNAcentral.
ACGGGUGAGUAACGCGUAGGAAUCUACCUAGUAGUGGGGGACAACGUCUCGAAAGGGACGCUAAUACCGCAUACGCCCUACGGGGGAAAGGGGGGGAUCUUCGGACCUCUCGCUAUUAGAUGAGCCUGCGUCGGAUUAGCUAGUUGGUGGGGUAAAGGCCUACCAAGGCAACGAUCCGUAGCUGGUCUGAGAGGAUGAUCAGCCACACCGGAACUGAGACACGGUCCGGACUCCUACGGGAGGCAGCAGUGGGGAAUAUUGGACAAUGGGGGCAACCCUGAUCCAGCCAUGCCGCGUGUGUGAAGAAGGCCUUCGGGUUGUAAAGCACUUUAGGGGGGGAGGAAGGUCCCAAAGCGAAUACCUUUGGGAAUUGACGUUACCCCCAGAAUAAGCACCGGCUAACUCCGUGCCAGCAGCCGCGGUAAUGCGGAGGGUGCAAGCGUUAAUCGGAAUUACUGGGCGUAAAGCGCGCGUAGGCGGUUAGGUAAGUCGAUUGUGAAAUCCCCGGGCUCAACCUGGGAAUUGCAGUCGAGACUGUCUGACUAGAGUGUAGGAGAGGGUGGUGGAAUUCCCGGUGUAGCGGUGAAAUGCGUA